GACGAACGCUGGCGGCGUGCUUAACACAUGCAAGUCGAACGGAAAGGCCCUGCUUUUGUGGGGUGCUCGAGUGGCGAACGGGUGAGUAACACGUGAGUAACCUGCCCUUGACUUUGGGAUAACUUCAGGAAACUGGGGCUAAUACCGGAUAGGAGCUCCUGCUGCAUGGUGGGGGUUGGAAAGUUUCGGCGGUUGGGGAUGGACUCGCGGCUUAUCAGCUUGUUGGUGGGGUAGUGGCUUACCAAGGCUUUGACGGGUAGCCGGCCUGAGAGGGUGACCGGCCACAAUGGUACUGAGAGACGGCGCAGACUCCUACGGGAGACAGCAGUGGGGAAUAUUGCACAAUGGGCGGAAGCCUGAUGCAGCAACGCCGCGUGCGUGAUGACGGCCUUCGGGUUGUAAACCGCUUUCGCCUGUGACGAAGCGUGCGUGACGGUAAUGGGUAAAGAAGCACCGGCUAACUACGUG
RNAcentral lists this ribosomal RNA (468 nucleotides) under uncultured bacterium. RNAcentral's name for it is "partial 16S ribosomal RNA". It matches the Rfam family "Bacterial small subunit ribosomal RNA", at positions 28 to 507 of the family's 1533-position model. The record is from RNAcentral.